RNAcentral lists this transfer RNA (72 nucleotides) under Verrucomicrobia bacterium CAG:312_58_20. Its description in RNAcentral is "tRNA-Arg". It matches the Rfam family "tRNA". From Rfam's summary of the family: Transfer RNA (tRNA) molecules are approximately 80 nucleotides in length. RNAcentral also lists the same sequence under 3 other names. The record is from RNAcentral. Lineage: Bacteria; Pseudomonadati; Verrucomicrobiota.
GCUCCCGUAGUUCAAUGGAUAGAGCAACGGUUUCCGGUACCGUUAAUCGGGGUUCGAGUCCCCGCGGGAGUG